AUUAAAAGAAAAAAAAAAAACAAAAUAGCCAGAAAGAUGUUAAUAACGCAAAUGAGGAUUUGGAAAAAUGCUAACCAAACUGAAAGAGAAACUGGAUAAUUUAAAAAUCCAAAAAAUAUUACUAAGAAUAUCGAUGAUGGUGGCUUUCGCGGGCAAUUAUAUUGGAGUGCUUCACGGUCGCUCCUUUAAAUAUACGAAAGAUCGGGAAGAUAUGAUAAGGACACGGUAUUGUACUGGGGGAACACAACCAACGGGCAAGAUGAAUGGCAGGGCAGGAUCAUUAAUUACUUCGAUCACGAUGUGGAGCAUAUCUGGCGCUACAUCUUUUCUCUCUCGCGAGCCGCCUACACGAGCCUCCACAUGUGUGCGAGUCAGCACAUGCACUUGCUGACUUUAAAAGGAUUUGUAUAUGGUUACAGUUCCUACAAAGGCGUUUUCUCGAACACUUUUAUAAGUGAUGUUGGUACCGUAUACUGGUAUAGACCAAGAUGGUUUAAUUACCAUUACCUAUAUUGGUCUACAUUCGCGAGAUGGUAAGAGCCGAUCGAACGACUGUGGUCGCCGACGACCCGCAUCGAAACUGGGCAUUGAUUAUGGUAAAUUAUGCGGUGAAUUUGUUCGUUUACAUAGACGGUCCCCACGAUACUGUCCAAGCCAUGAGAAAUGACAAUUGCGGACAGUCUCAUGUCGCCGAAGAUAGACAGGGACCGUUCGCUUCUUGGAUCUUCUUGUAUCUAUCCGAUAUACACCAGAGUGCUUACUGUUAGAAGUUACAAGCGGAAAAUAUCUAUGUAUAUACUAAGAUAAAUAGAAUAAUAAAUAAGUAUAA
Non-coding RNA from Onthophagus taurus, 829 nucleotides. The record is from RefSeq and is a predicted model, not a curated record. NCBI's taxonomy places the organism in Eukaryota, Metazoa, Arthropoda, Insecta, Coleoptera, Scarabaeidae.